RNAcentral lists this ribosomal RNA (1558 nucleotides) under Escherichia sp. MOD1-EC5438. Its description in RNAcentral is "bacterial LSU rRNA". It matches the Rfam family "Bacterial large subunit ribosomal RNA", at positions 1271 to 2812 of the family's 2925-position model. Lineage: Bacteria; Pseudomonadati; Pseudomonadota; Gammaproteobacteria; Enterobacterales; Enterobacteriaceae. The record is from RNAcentral.
UGCUGGAGGUAUCAGAAGUGCGAAUGCUGACAUAAGUAACGAUAAAGCGGGUGAAAAGCCCGCUCGCCGGAAGACCAAGGGUUCCUGUCCAACGUUAAUCGGGGCAGGGUGAGUCGACCCCUAAGGCGAGGCCGAAAGGCGUAGUCGAUGGGAAACAGGUUAAUAUUCCUGUACUUGGUGUUACUGCGAAGGGGGGACGGAGAAGGCUAUGUUGGCCGGGCGACGGUUGUCCCGGUUUAAGCGUGUAGGCUGAUUUUCCAGGCAAAUCCGGAGAAUCAAGGCUGAGGCGUGAUGACGAGGCACUACGGUGCUGAAGCAACAAAUGCCCUGCUUCCAGGAAAAGCCUCUAAGCAUCAGGUAACAUCAAAUCGUACCCCAAACCGACACAGGUGGUCAGGUAGAGAAUACCAAGGCGCUUGAGAGAACUCGGGUGAAGGAACUAGGCAAAAUGGUGCCGUAACUUCGGGAGAAGGCACGCUGAUAUGUAGGUGAAGCGACUUGCUCGUGGAGCUGAAAUCAGUCGAAGAUACCAGCUGGCUGCAACUGUUUAUUAAAAACACAGCACUGUGCAAACACGAAAGUGGACGUAUACGGUGUGACGCCUGCCCGGUGCCGGAAGGUUAAUUGAUGGGGUCAGCCGCAAGGCGAAGCUCUUGAUCGAAGCCCCGGUAAACGGCGGCCGUAACUAUAACGGUCCUAAGGUAGCGAAAUUCCUUGUCGGGUAAGUUCCGACCUGCACGAAUGGCGUAAUGAUGGCCAGGCUGUCUCCACCCGAGACUCAGUGAAAUUGAACUCGCUGUGAAGAUGCAGUGUACCCGCGGCAAGACGGAAAGACCCCGUGAACCUUUACUAUAGCUUGACACUGAACAUUGAGCCUUGAUGUGUAGGAUAGGUGGGAGGCUUUGAAGUGUGGACGCCAGUCUGCAUGGAGCCGACCUUGAAAUACCACCCUUUAAUGUUUGAUGUUCUAACGUGGACCCGUGAUCCGGGUUGCGGACAGUGUCUGGUGGGUAGUUUGACUGGGGCGGUCUCCUCCUAAAGAGUAACGGAGGAGCACGAAGGUUGGCUAAUCCUGGUCGGACAUCAGGAGGUUAGUGCAAUGGCAUAAGCCAGCUUGACUGCGAGCGUGACGGCGCGAGCAGGUGCGAAAGCAGGUCAUAGUGAUCCGGUGGUUCUGAAUGGAAGGGCCAUCGCUCAACGGAUAAAAGGUACUCCGGGGAUAACAGGCUGAUACCGCCCAAGAGUUCAUAUCGACGGCGGUGUUUGGCACCUCGAUGUCGGCUCAUCACAUCCUGGGGCUGAAGUAGGUCCCAAGGGUAUGGCUGUUCGCCAUUUAAAGUGGUACGCGAGCUGGGUUUAGAACGUCGUGAGACAGUUCGGUCCCUAUCUGCCGUGGGCGCUGGAGAACUGAGGGGGGCUGCUCCUAGUACGAGAGGACCGGAGUGGACGCAUCACUGGUGUUCGGGUUGUCAUGCCAAUGGCACUGCCCGGUAGCUAAAUGCGGAAGAGAUAAGUGCUGAAAGCAUCUAAGCACGAAACUUGCCCCGAGAUGAGUUCU